CGGAGUAAUGAUAGCACGAAUGGGGGUGUAGCUCAUAUGGUAGAGCGCUCGCUUCGCAUGCGAGAGGCACGGGGUUCGAUUCCCCGCACCUCCAC
This 95-nucleotide transfer RNA is filed under the name Helianthus annuus (common sunflower). Its description in RNAcentral is "hypothetical non coding rna". The stretch from base 22 to 94 matches the Rfam family "tRNA". From Rfam's summary of the family: Transfer RNA (tRNA) molecules are approximately 80 nucleotides in length. Their secondary structure includes four short double-helical elements and three loops (D, anti-codon, and T loops). Lineage: Eukaryota; Viridiplantae; Streptophyta; Magnoliopsida; Asterales; Asteraceae. The record is from RNAcentral.